CACUCUAAGGAGACUGCCGGUGACAAACCGGAGGAAGGUGGGGAUGACGUCAAGUCAUCAUGGCCCUUACGGCCUGGGCUACACACGUGCUACAAUGGUCGGUACAAAGGGUUGCCAAGCCGCGAGGUGGAGCUAAUCCCAUAAAACCGAUCGUAGUCCGGAUCGCAGUCUGCAACUCGACUGCGUGAAGUCGGAAUCGCUAGUAAUCGUGAAUCAGAAUGUCACGGUGAAUACGUUCCCGGGCCUU
Molecule: ribosomal RNA, 247 nt
Filed under: uncultured Pseudomonas sp.
Lineage: Bacteria; Pseudomonadati; Pseudomonadota; Gammaproteobacteria; Pseudomonadales; Pseudomonadaceae
Description: partial 16S ribosomal RNA
Rfam family: Bacterial small subunit ribosomal RNA
Source: RNAcentral